AUGGAGGCACAGUCUCUGAAGGAGGGGGGAGGGAUGGAGGAGGAUAAGGAGGCUGAGCCAGGUCUCUGGAUGGGUAUUGGGAUUAGGCAUUGUAAAGGAUGGAUGGAGCAGGCUGCACGCAGCUGUGUGUCCUCAGAGAGGGCAGACUCUUUCCAUCCCCAGCAUGGCAGAAAACACACGAUGGAAAAAGUCUUGAAAGAGAGGAAGGAAGGGAUCUGGUUUGGAUCAUUGCUGUGGCGAUGUCUGCAGAAUAAGGUGUUUAUUUUGGAAAGGGCUCUGUUUACAUGUCUGUUUUUAUGCGACACCCACAUAUGGAGAUGUUUGCUUUGCCGGGACCUCACAUUCCUCCCCGCACACACAACACACACGUCCCAGCUGGGACAAGUGGGGGGUCCCUUCGCUCCCAGGUCCCCACCAGCCAGCCCCCGUCCCUCCCUCGGGCAGCUGGGACAAAGCACGGUCACGCUGCAAAAUGUUUCCAGCCAAAGAGUGUCCAAAGUCUCUCAAAGUGCAGUCCCCACCACCCUGCAUGUCAGUGGACGGAUGUUAUGUCCCUCACAUUUAAGGCACCUCGGUCACAGCGCUGCAGAAGCCCCUUCUUCCUCUCCUGGCCCACGGUCACCCUCUCAUGGUGGCCACAGGUCAGCCAGAGCAUCCCCUCACGUUGGAGCUGCACGAGCACAGAUCCCACUGCAAUUCUUCCUCAUCUCCAUGCUGAGGUGUUGGACAAGCAGGGUCUCUGGCAGUACCACUGCUGAAAAUAACCACCCUGCUUCAUACUGAGACAGCAGAGCACCAGGCUGGGGACCACAUCCAAGAUCUCAGCAGGUCUGCAGGUCUGUUACCUUUGUUCUGACCCAAUUUCAAUGGGCUGCCCAUUAUUUGGAGAGAAAAUAGUGAGAACUGUUAUGCCUUAACUUCAAAAUUAAGAGCAUGGAGCAGCAUCUGGCACCUUACACAACCUCUCCAUAGACACUGCCUGAGAGACCUUUAAGCAGCAAAAACCCCUAAGAAAAGAAAGUUGAGCUGUAGGUGAAAAUAGCCACAAAACUGAGGAAGACCAUCUGCCUGGAGAGCAUUAAAAAUGACAACCGGCCUUCCCAUUUACAUUGCCUCUUGUUUCUUUCAGAGGAGAGUGUACUACCAGUUCAUGCAAGAUGCUGAGUGGCUCAAUCUCUUCUUGGUGGCAACAAAACCACCUGAAACCCUGGGGCUUCCCUUUGAAGAGUGCUCCAGGAAACACAAACAUUGAGGAAACACUCCUCCAUGCCCGAGACAGGCUUGAGCUACUGCCUGGGAGUACAUUUUGUGCUGGAGAACAGCCCAGGGACGUGCAGUGGGCUGCGCACCCCAGCAGAGCCUGUCCCAGCUCCAGCACUGUUAUUAAUGGCCUGUUAUUAAUGGCCUGUUAUUAAUGGUCACUACAUAGAAGGGAGCAAACCAGGCCAAUAGCCUCUUCAACAUGCAAAAUACUUCAGGAUACCGAGACCUCUUCUAAAGUCUCUGCCUUCAUUGUAUUACCCCGGUGUUGUUGAAAAUGCAGUAGCUCGCUUGAAGAUUCGUUUUUUUCUUGCCUACUUUCCAGUUUCGGUAUUUUUGACACCUUGUGGCUAAUUUCACACUACUUUGGGGUUUUGUGAGUUCCAGCAGGACUUGUAGAGUGAGGUGGCAGGAUCAGGAGCACAGCUGGCUCAGUUACCUUGUGCACUGGCAGAACACCAGGCUGGGGAGCGCAUCCAGGAUCUGUUAUGCUGUAUAUUAACAGGAAUGGAAGACAGCUCCUCUUUCUCUAUUUGCCAGUCAAAUCAGGAUUUCUUUGAGCAUGCUGUUUUUCUGAGCAUGUCUUCAGCUUCAUCCCUGGACAUCUUCAAAAGCCAUCUAGGCACGGUUCUGGGCAGCCUGCUCUAGGUGGCCAUGCUUGAGCAGGGGGGAUAGACCAGAUGGCCACCAGAGGUCCCUGCCAACAUUAGUCAUUUUGUGAUUUAUCUUUCCUCUCGAAAUGCCCCCCAAGUUGCUUUUGAAACGACUGCACAAAUCCAGUCUGACUGGCAGAAGGGUGGAAAUUUCAAGAAGACCAAGUUCUCCCAUGCUUUGUGAAAACUGGUUGCUUGUUGAAGAAACCAAAAUUAAUGAUCUCUCACCCAAGGAUGCACAGGGGGAGGUCAGGACUUCUUCACUCAGUUUAAUCAGUUAGGACACACUGCUGGAUUGGCUGUGGAGUAUGCAAUGAAGUCCAGGGUCGCUACCAGCAUCAUUUCUGGUCCAGCUAGCAUGACCAAAACUGCCAACAUGAAGUUGAAGAUAGGGCGUAACUGGCCUAGAGGCCCUGAGGAUGAGCUGGGGGCCCCUUGGGGGCACUUUGGAAAUAGAAGAGAAUAGAAGAGAAAACUGAGAGGAUUUUGGAGCUGUUUGUAGGUAUGGGGGAAAUCUGGGAGCCUUGCAGUGAAGAGCUGUUUUGUACGCAGAGCAGGUCUGGAGUCACUGCAGUGGGGAACACAAGGGCCACAUGAUGUGGCUCUAGAGGAAACCAGGUUUCACUCUUGGUUCUCGGAACAACUUAUUUAAAGUGAAGAUUACUGCUGUUUUGGAAAUUGUAAUGUGGGACUCCUGCUACCCUAAGCAGAUGGCUAGAGCAACACCAUAUAGGCAGAUCCAAUUUAUCAGCAAUACUUAAUCACCAUCUCCAAAUAACACUUCAAUAAUCAGAUAACAGUGAGUUUGUCUGGGCAAUGUAGGGAUAUUUUUUUCCGUUUCUUUGUCCCAUUUCAUAGCAAAAUGGAUUUAUUUUAACAAGUAGUGGGAACCACAGCUUCUGCUGAUCCUAAGAGCUUUCACUGUUGCAUCUACUAGCAUUAUUUUCAUUUUAGCAAUGCAUUUCUAAUGGCUUGUCUGCUUUGCUGGCUGUUUUCAAAAUCAAAGGUAAUGAACAUAAAGUGAGAGAAUGACUUUUUUCCUUUUGUUUUGGCUUUCCCCCCUUCUUUUGAUCAGCUCCCUCCAUCUGGUCCUUGCCUGUCAGUGUCAGGGUGGCACUGACUGUCCUCUGUAGAUGCAGUUUAUUGUGUACCCUCAAUUUUACUGCUCUAUGUUUAUUGUUGCUAAUUCACCAAGGACCUUGAAAUCCAAUAAAAUUUGCCCCUUGGCAAUGUGAAAAUCUCCC
Molecule: long non-coding RNA, 3157 nt
Organism: Anser brachyrhynchus (Pink-footed goose)
Lineage: Eukaryota; Metazoa; Chordata; Aves; Anseriformes; Anatidae
Source: Ensembl